This 317-nucleotide long non-coding RNA is filed under the name Pogona vitticeps (central bearded dragon). RNAcentral describes it as "lncRNA (ENSPVIG00000003102.1)". The record is from RNAcentral. Lineage: Eukaryota; Metazoa; Chordata; Lepidosauria; Squamata; Agamidae.
GUGUUGUGCUUUACUGAUGACAUCACAAAGGCCAACUCUCAUUGGUGAAAUCUCAGGGAGUAAGAUGUUGUUAGCCCGGCACUUCGUUCUGAAGAGCUCCAAAGCUUAUACAAUUUUAUAAGAUUUGAAUUGGCUGCAGAAGAGAUAUAAAUGCCUAAGUGUUUGCCACAUUAAUGGACCACCGGAUAAAAAUGCUUCUCCUAGCUCAAUGGAAUGGAUCAAUAAGAACACCUGAAUUCUUGGAGUUUUUAAAACAUCACAAGCUGCCUGAAGAAGAUGUGGCUAGGAGGAACUUUUCUGAGUUGAGGUGACUGUUA